RNAcentral lists this unclassified non-coding RNA (866 nucleotides) under Hevea brasiliensis (rubber tree). The record is from RNAcentral. Lineage: Eukaryota; Viridiplantae; Streptophyta; Magnoliopsida; Malpighiales; Euphorbiaceae.
AUGGGGUUGGUGGAAAUGGGUUCGGUAAUAUCGGGAGUGCAGGGGGAAGUGGCGGUGGAACGAUCUUGUUUGUUGGUGAUUUACAUUGGUGGACUACUGAUGCGGAGCUGGAGGUGGAACUCUGUAAGUAUGGUCCGUUGAAGGAGGUCAAGUUUUAUGACGAGAAAGCCAGUGGAAAAUCAAAAGGUUACUGCCAGGUUGAGUUUUAUGAUCCUUCUGCUGCCACAGCUUGCAAGGAGGGAAUGAAUGGGCAUAUUUUUAAUGGACGACCAUGUGUUGUUGCAUAUGCAUCCCCUUUUAGUGUUAAGAAGAUGGGAGAAGCGCAAGUUAACAGGAACCAACAGAUGGCCCAAGCUACUAAUCCUCAAGCAAGGAGAGGUCCUAAUGAUGUUGUUGGUAAAAUUGGUGGAAGUAGCAUUGCAACGGGUGGUAACUAUCAAGGUGGUGAUAACAAUAGAGGUUCUGGGAGAGGCAAUUGGGGAAGAGGUAAUGCACAUGGAAUGGGAGGUCGAGGACCGGCUGGCCCAAUGAGGAGUAGGGGUGGUGGGAUGGGUGGCAGAGGUAUAAUGGGAAAUGGUGGAAAUGGAUUUGGCCAAGGAAUUGGUGCUACCCCUCCUUUGUUGCAUCCGCAGUCAAUGAUGGGUCAAGGUUUUGAUCCAUCUUUUGGUGCACCCAUGGGGAGAAUGGGCACAUAUGGUGGUUUUCCUGGAGCUCCGGCCCCCCCUUUUUCUGGAAUUUUGUCGUCCUUUCCCCCUGUUGGGGGUGUUGGCCUUCCUGGUGUAGCUCCUCAUGUGAACCCAGCAUUUUUUGGAAGAGGUAUGCCUAUGAAUGGAAUGGGUAUGAUGCCAACAUCAGGUGUUGAUGGG